AAACGGGUGCGGAACACGUACGCAACCUUCCCAGAACUGGUGAAUAGCCUUUCGAAAGAGAGAUUAAUACACCGUAACUUAAUGGAGUGGCAUCACUUUAUUAAUAUAGUUCCGACGGUUCUGGAUGGGCGUGCGGCUGAUUAGGUAGUUGGCGGGGUAACGGCCCACCAAGCCAACGAUCAGUAACUGGUGUGAGAGCACGACCAGUCACACGGGCACUGAGACACGGGCCCG
Molecule: ribosomal RNA, 234 nt
Filed under: uncultured bacterium
Lineage: Bacteria
Description: partial 16S ribosomal RNA
Rfam family: Bacterial small subunit ribosomal RNA
Source: RNAcentral